RNAcentral lists this unclassified non-coding RNA (406 nucleotides) under fungal sp. RNAcentral describes it as "partial internal transcribed spacer region". The stretch from base 1 to 46 matches the Rfam family "Eukaryotic small subunit ribosomal RNA", at positions 1786 to 1831 of the family's 1831-position model. The record is from RNAcentral. Lineage: Eukaryota; Fungi.
AAGUCGUAACAAGGUUUCCGUAGGUGAACCUGCGGAAGGAUCAUUAACACGUAUCCAACGUUAAAACAACCCCCGUGAACUUUCAGCUUGCUCCUGCAGCCCCAUGAAAUCAGCAAUCCCUGGUAAAUCAUUGUUGACCAGCUUUUGAGUCAGGGACCUCUGCCGAAACGGCUGUUCAGUACCGAGCGCGGUGUAAGCGACCUGGCAUCCCCAAGCGAUCAGUGUCUGAAAGUGUCAUUGAUUGUGUAAGGAUGGCGCAGUAAACGAUUGCUAGAGGCCCACACGGCCGGCAACCGGGUCCCAGGGCUCACGCCCCUUUAUCACCCCACAGUUUCCGACUGGGCAGCCGAUAAUACGGACGCCGUAAAAAACUGAACAACUGUUAACAAUGGAUAUCUUGGUUCUC